AUUGAACGCUGGCGGCAUGCCUUACACAUGCAAGUCGAACGGUAACGGGCCUUCGGGUGCCGACGAGUGGCGAACGGGUGAGUAAUGCAUCGGAACGUACCUUCAGUGGGGAUAACGUAGCGAAAGUUACGCUAAUACCGCAUAUUCUGUGAGCAGGAAAGCAGGGGAUCGCAAGACCUUGCGCUGAUUGAGCGGCCGAUGUCAGAUUAGCUAGUUGGUGAGGUAAAGGCUCACCAAGGCGACGAUCUGUAGCGGGUCUGAGAGGAUGAUCCGCCACACUGGAACUGAGACACGGUCCAGACUCCUACGGGAGGCAGCAGUGGGGAAUUUUGGACAAUGGGGGCAACCCUGAUCCAGCCAUGCCGCGUGAGUGAAGAAGGCCUUCGGGUUGUAAAGCUCUUUCGGCCGGGAAGAAAUCGUAUGGGUUAAUACCCUGUGCGGAUGACGGUACCGGCAUAAGAAGCACCGGCUAACUACGUG
Molecule: ribosomal RNA, 480 nt
Filed under: uncultured bacterium
Lineage: Bacteria
Description: bacterial SSU rRNA
Rfam family: Bacterial small subunit ribosomal RNA
Source: RNAcentral